GAAAGACUUACUACACCAAAGAAAAGAUAUUGAAAAAAGAAAAGUAUAAUGCUAAUAAAUUAUUAAGUUGGGGAAUUCUUUUUGAUGAAGUAUGCUGGUCGUGUUUCACCACCUUUAACAGCUGCAAAAGGUUUGACUCUGAUAUAUGAAAAAAUUUCCUCUGCGGGGCUAAAAUUUUGAUAAAUGUUGUGUGAUGAAAACUGAAAUAGAAGAAGCAAAAGAAAAUGACUCGAAGAACCAAACAAGUAACAGGAAAACCGCAAAAAACCUACAACACCGUCGAUCAACGAGGUGGAAUUUAGGGAAAAGUUUCACCCAAUGGUGAUGGG
This is a long non-coding RNA of Diorhabda carinulata, 329 nucleotides long. RefSeq lists it as uncharacterized. The record is from RefSeq and is a predicted model, not a curated record. The transcript is spliced from 3 exons. Lineage: Eukaryota; Metazoa; Arthropoda; Insecta; Coleoptera; Chrysomelidae.